This 399-nucleotide transfer-messenger RNA is filed under the name uncultured Prevotella sp. It matches the Rfam family "transfer-messenger RNA". From Rfam's summary of the family: Bacterial tmRNA, also known as 10Sa RNA or SsrA, is named for its dual tRNA and mRNA-like properties. Its role is to liberate the mRNA from a stalled ribosome. To accomplish this part of the tmRNA is used as a reading frame that ends in a translation stop signal. Lineage: Bacteria; Pseudomonadati; Bacteroidota; Bacteroidia; Bacteroidales; Prevotellaceae. The record is from RNAcentral.
GGGGGUAACUGGAUUUGACGGCAAGCCGAGAUGGUGCGUAAGCAUGCGGAGUGACGGCUGUGGACUCCUAAAACACGUCGGUCGGAAAAUUAAUUGGCAACAACGAGUAUGCUCUCGCUGCUUGAUCGAAGUACAGUAGAUCACGAGCUUAAUUCCCCUACAAGGUAGAGGAACGAGACGUCGCCCCAAGGAUGUUGUUCCGAAUCUGAGGACAAGGCGGCGCAGGAAAAUCGGAAAUAGUCAUGCCAGGCCCCGAUGGCACGAUGAAGAUUUAGGGGAUAAGGCGGCGGCUCAGUGGUCCAGGUCUUGCUGACGCACGAAAAUGUAGUCUGGAAUAAGCAUGUAGAAAGCGCAUGGUUUCCUUGUGCGGACGAGAGUUCGACUCUCUCUACCUCCACC